Molecule: ribosomal RNA, 169 nt
Filed under: uncultured bacterium
Lineage: Bacteria
Description: partial 16S ribosomal RNA
Rfam family: Bacterial small subunit ribosomal RNA
Source: RNAcentral
CGCUAGUAAUCGCGGAUCAGAAUGCCGCGGUGAAUACGUUCCCGGGUCUUGUACACACCGCCCGUCACACCAUGGGAGUCGGAAAUGCCCGAAGCCGGUGACUCAACCUUUAAGGAGAGAGCCGUCGAGGGCAGGUCUGAUAACUGGGGUGAAGUCGUAACAAGGUACC